RNAcentral lists this ribosomal RNA (480 nucleotides) under uncultured bacterium. Its description in RNAcentral is "bacterial SSU rRNA". It matches the Rfam family "Bacterial small subunit ribosomal RNA", at positions 25 to 518 of the family's 1533-position model. The record is from RNAcentral.
CAGGACGAACGCUGGCGGCGUGCCUAACACAUGCAAGUCGAACGGACGAGAGGAGCUUGCUCCUCAAGUUAGUGGCGGACGGGUGAGUAACACGUGAGCAACCUGCCCUUCGGAGGGGGGACAACAGCUGGAAACGGCUGCUAAUACCGCAUGAUGUAUUCUGGAGGCAUCUCCGGGAUACCAAAGAUUUUAUCGCCGAAGGAUGGGCUCGCGUCUGAUUAGAUAGUUGGCGGGGUAACGGCCCACCAAGUCUGCGAUCAGUAGCCGGACUGAGAGGUUGAACGGCCACAUUGGGACUGAGAUACGGCCCAGACUCCUACGGGAGGCAGCAGUGGGGAAUAUUGGGGACAAUGGGGGCAACCCUGACCCAGCAACGCCGCGUGAAGGAAGAAGGCUUUCGGGUUGUAAACUUCUUUGACGAGGGACGAUAGUGACGGUACCUCGAAAACAAGCCACGGCUAACUACGUGCCAGCCGCGGC